Empidonax traillii (willow flycatcher) is the source of this 2047-nucleotide long non-coding RNA. RefSeq lists it as uncharacterized. Lineage: Eukaryota; Metazoa; Chordata; Aves; Passeriformes; Tyrannidae. The record is from RefSeq and is a predicted model, not a curated record. The transcript is spliced from 4 exons.
CAAUCCGAAACAGAAGAAAUCCAACUUCUUUCUGCCUGACAACAAAACCUGCAGAGACACAGACUGCAGGCUGGAGAGGCUUAAACUUUGUAGCAGUUUCUUGGAUGGGCAUCAGUCAGAAUACUCCGAAAGAGGAUGGGGCAGUGCAAAUGCUGAAGAUACAAUAAUGAGGAAAAAAAUUUAAAUACCAAGUCUCUCUUUGUAUAUAGAAGUAUUGAAGAAGGAAUUUCUCCAGUGACAGAAAAAAGACUUGAAGAAUAGGGAUGUAGUCUGAGAUCAGCAGAUCAAGUCUUGGAAAACUGGUGCUGUCAUGUAGGAUCUGCACUGCAAGAGGAAGAGAUUUACACUCAGCAAACGUGCAAUCAACACAAGGUGAAAUUAUUCAGGUUUCUGCAGAUCUUUAUAAGGAUAGAUUGUUUUCUGCAAGCUGUGCCUCAAGUGUAUAACUUCAGAUUUCUUGAAGCCUGUGCUACAAUGACAAUGGAUGUUCCUUAAAGCUUUUGUUGAGAACAUUUCUGCUGUAUCUGCAUUGGCAGGUGACAUGUGCAUCACACUGCAAAGGCUGCUUCAGGUGAUGGAUCCUGCCAUUCCAUAUGGAGAUCUUGCUCCUAAAUGCUGUGCCAGGGAAUUGAUUCAAUAUGCAAUCAAACGGAGGAAUGUCAGCCCUGAAACCAAGGAGCCCCUUUGCUUUACUGGACCAGAAUUGCACAUCCAGCCUGAAGAACUGCUUCAAAAGAAUGUAGAUAAUUUCAGCCUUUCUCCAGUUGUUAAAGACAAGCUGUUCAGAACUUCUGGAGUGGGUGAUCAUCCUUUUGGCCUGUUUAUUGUUCUCUGAGAUGUAUUAAGGUAGCAUCUGCCUAAGCUAAGUGAGAGAAGAGAAAGGAAAAGGAGAUCAUUUAUCAAAAUCAGAUCCUUUUCUCGAAGGGGAUGAGUGACUGUUAGAACAGCAGCACAGCUUAAAUACCCAGAUUUUGCUUUGAUAUGUUUUGCAGCCUGACCCAAAGAGCCAGUCUCCUGUUAAAGAGUGUAAGAGGAUGAGUUCAGUGCCUGCUGUUCCUGCAAGAGCUGGGGGUCAGCAGCAGUAUUUGCAGAUGUGGAGCUGCUCUUGUCUGGGCUCAGGGUUGUGAUGGUGUUGGGAUAGGGUCUCCUUUGUUUUACUUUUCUGGCACUGUGCUCAGAAGAUUGAAGUGAGAGCUGUGGCUACAGUGGUUUAUACAAAAUUCAUGUGCCAGUUACAGGAACUUUAUAGUCCUUGUGGCAUUUUGUGUAGCGUGUCCUGGGAUACCAAUGUAUGCUAGAGCUGGGAGUUGUCUCUCUGCAGGAGUUUGGUUUUGCUUUUUUGCCACAGCCUUGCCGUGGGGCUGGCAGUACCCAAGGGCUAAAAUCCCAUUGUGCUGCUGAUUUGGAAGUAAGCUGCUUCCCUGGAAACUACUCCCAGUCCCAAAAUGUUAUUUCCGGGCAUGCUCAGGCACUUGUCCCAGCACAAGGGUGGCUCAGUCACACACCACGGAGCACAGGGUGUGUGUAUGCAAGGGACACAUCUGUACAGCACUUUUUUUAAGAAGUAAUAUUUAGAACCUUGUUGUUCCAAUGUGCAUGCUUCCAUGUGAUCUAUGAUGAUUGUAAAUAAGGGAAUGUGUUACAUUUUUCGCACUUUGGCUUUAUGGAGAAGAAUUAAAGAGUUUAACUUUAAAAAUCGUUGUUAGUCGGCUUUUGCUGUUAUGUUCUCAGAGUUUGAUUAUAAAAGGAAUAUGUGGGUUCAGUAGUGCCUUUUCAUUUGUUUUAGGGUGUUGUAUUUAUUUUGGGUGGUGUUUUUGGUUUAUUAGCUGUUGCUAAAAGGGGGAAGGAGCAGUCUUAAGAGAUUAAAUCAGUCUCUUGAAUGCAGUUUACAACUCAGGUUGUGUCCAACCCCUCAGUUUGUAUUUUGGCAUCUUAUCAUGAACUUGUAACCUAGUGGGAGGGAGCAGCUGAAGCCCCAGCACCUGUUAUGCCAUGAGAGAGGUGUUUUCCUGGAGAAGAUGGAGCUGCCAGGUGAGAGUAAUAGGUU